UGGACAGAGAGCUUGUUGACUCCUUUGCUCCAGACCAGCGUCCUGGAGACAUGGAACAAGUUUUAGGUGGUUUCACAACUUUCUCAAAGCUCGUCCUGAUACACCAAGUGGUGAGUCAGAGCUCAAGUCCAGGUCCUGUCUGUCCGCAAACCUUGAGCUCCCUCUGCCAUGCAGGAUGCCUUUCCACCAACCAGCAUCCAGACUCACACCAAUGUCCAUUUUUAAUUGGAGUACGACAUCCAUAUAGGAAAGGGCAUCAACCCUAAGGGCACAGCACAGGGAAUCUCCACACACCGGACGCACCCACAUGACUAUCACCGCACCAAGAAGGAAUGCGGGACCGACAACCCAGAAUCUCUUCACUUUCUCCUUUCUUGUCACUAUCACCCAAAGGACUAACCACCGCCCUGACUUCUAACCAUAAUUUUUUGCCCUUAAAAUUUUUAAA
This is a long non-coding RNA of Mustela lutreola (European mink), 448 nucleotides long. RefSeq lists it as uncharacterized. Lineage: Eukaryota; Metazoa; Chordata; Mammalia; Carnivora; Mustelidae. The transcript has 3 exons. The record is from RefSeq and is a predicted model, not a curated record.